RNAcentral lists this ribosomal RNA (491 nucleotides) under uncultured bacterium. RNAcentral describes it as "partial 16S ribosomal RNA". It matches the Rfam family "Bacterial small subunit ribosomal RNA", at positions 29 to 506 of the family's 1533-position model. The record is from RNAcentral.
AGUGAACGCUGGCGGUAGGCCUAACACAUGCAAGUCGAACGGCAGCACAGUAAGAGCUUGCUCUUACGGGUGGCGAGUGGCGGACGGGUGAGGAAUACAUCGGAAUCUACUUUUUCGUGGGGGAUAACGUAGGGAAACUUACGCUAAUACCGCAUACGACCUACGGGUGAAAGCAGGGGAUCUUCGGACCUUGCGCGAUUGAAUGAGCCGAUGUCGGAUUAGCUAGUUGGCGGGGUAAAGGCCCACCAAGGCGACGAUCCGUAGCUGGUCUGAGAGGAUGAUCUGCCACACUGGAACUGAGACACGGUCCAGACUCCUACGGGAGGCAGCAGUGGGGAAUAUUGGACAAUGGGCGCAAGCCUGAUCCAGCCAUACCGCGUGGGUGAAGAAGGCCUUCGGGUUGUAAAGCCCUUUUGUUGGGAAAGAAAAGCAGCAGGUUAAUACCCCGCUGUUCUGACGGUACCCAAAGAAUAAGCACCGGCUAACUUCGU